This 468-nucleotide ribosomal RNA is filed under the name uncultured bacterium. RNAcentral's name for it is "partial 16S ribosomal RNA". It matches the Rfam family "Bacterial small subunit ribosomal RNA", at positions 28 to 507 of the family's 1533-position model. The record is from RNAcentral.
GACGAACGCUGGCGGCGUGCUUAACACAUGCAAGUCGAACGGAAAGGCCCUGCCUUUGUGGGGUGCUCGAGUGGCGAACGGGUGAGUAACACGUGAGUAACCUGCCCUUGACUUUGGGAUAACUUCAGGAAACUGGGGCUAAUACCGGAUAGGAGCUCCUGCUGCAUGGUGGGGGCUGGAAAGUUUCGGCGGUUGGGGAUGGACUCGCGGCUUAUCAGCUUGUUGGUGGGGUAGUGGCUUACCAAGGCUUUGACGGGUAGCCGGCCUGAGAGGGUGACCGGCCACAUUGGGACUGAGAUACGGCCCAGACUCCUACGGGAGGCAGCAGUGGGGAAUAUUGCACAAUGGGCGGAAGCCUGAUGCAGCAACGCCGCGUGCGGGAUGACGGCCUUCGGGUUGUAAACCGCUUUCGCCUGUGACGAAGCGUGAGUGACGGUAAUGGGUAAAGAAGCACCGGCUAACUACGUG